This 238-nucleotide long non-coding RNA is filed under the name Hordeum vulgare. RNAcentral describes it as "long non-coding RNA (HVUL_LNC008445)". The record is from RNAcentral. Lineage: Eukaryota; Viridiplantae; Streptophyta; Magnoliopsida; Poales; Poaceae.
CGGCGUAGGGCUAAUGGCAUCUUCAAGAGCAACCCGUAAAUUGUUUUCAUUACGUGUCCAUGAACAAUGGGAUCAGUCUACGGACAUAGAUGCGGGAGGACGUCAUCCAAUGCUAUGGACAUACAUUCCGUCAAUAUUUCAAAAUAUCUGGACGAAAUUUGUUUAAACCCAAGUUCGGGUAUAAUUACAUAAACGAACAAUAUUUCGCCCGGUUUUUACUAAAAACUAUUAGAAAAAC